RNAcentral lists this ribosomal RNA (463 nucleotides) under uncultured bacterium. RNAcentral's name for it is "bacterial SSU rRNA". It matches the Rfam family "Bacterial small subunit ribosomal RNA", at positions 26 to 507 of the family's 1533-position model. The record is from RNAcentral.
AGGACGAACGCUGGCGGCGUGCCUAACACAUGCAAGUCGAACGGGCUGUUAGUGAAAGCUUGCUGGAUCUAACAGUUAGUGGCGGACGGGUGAGUAACACGUGAGAACCUAUCCUUACCCGGGGGACAACAGGUGGAAACGCCUGCUAAUACCCCAUAGGCGCAGAGAUGCGUGAAAGGAGCGAUCCGGGGAGGGAGGGGCUCGCGGCCUAUCAGCUAGUAGGUGGGGUAAGGGCCCACCUAGGCGAUGACGGGUAGCCGGCCUGAGAGGGCGCACGGCCACACUGGAACUGAGACACGGUCCAGACUCCUACGGGAGGCAGCAGUGGGGAAUCUUGGGCAAUGGGGGAAACCCUGACCCAGCGACGCCGCGUGAGGGACGAAAUCCUUUGGGAUGUAAACCUCUGUUGUGCGGGACGAAGGACGUGACGGUACCGCACGAGGAAGCCCCGGCAAACUACGUG